GCAUGAUGUGGGACACCUGGUCGCCCGGCGCCUGGUACGCGCCGGAUGAUUUCAACGAAGCGGCGCGCGCGUUCGACAACCCCGAUUGGGCC
This 92-nucleotide transfer RNA is filed under the name Achromobacter denitrificans. Its description in RNAcentral is "tRNA-Thr(ggt)". The record is from RNAcentral. RNAcentral also lists the same sequence under 1 other name. Lineage: Bacteria; Pseudomonadati; Pseudomonadota; Betaproteobacteria; Burkholderiales; Alcaligenaceae.